UACGUAGGGGGCUAGCGUUGUCCGGAAUUAUUGGGCGUAAAGAGCUCGUAGGCGGUUUGUCGCGUCUGCCGUGAAAGUCCGGGGCUCAACUCCGGAUCUGCGGUGGGUACGGGCAGACUAGAGUGAUGUAGGGGAGACUGGAAUUCCUGGUGUAGCGGUGAAAUGCGCAGAUAUCAGGAGGAACACCGAUGGCGAAGGCAGGUCUCUGGGCAUUAACUGACGCUGAGGAGCGAAAGCAUGGGGAGCGAACAGG
RNAcentral lists this ribosomal RNA (253 nucleotides) under uncultured bacterium. RNAcentral's name for it is "partial 16S ribosomal RNA". It matches the Rfam family "Bacterial small subunit ribosomal RNA", at positions 524 to 776 of the family's 1533-position model. The record is from RNAcentral.